AUUGUGUUAUUUAUUACACUGUUUUUCUCGGUAUACUAUCCAUCAUAGAAAAUUUGGACUUGUCCUUUUCUUGAGUGUUUCUAUGGAUAAUUAGCACACUGUUGAACUAUUUUUGGAUUGGAAAGGGAAAAUCUUCAUUUAGGUGGUUAUUUUCUUCUUUGGUUUAGAUAAUCACAUGCUUUUGUUAUGUAAGUUGUGUUUCUCUUUGUCUUGUAAUGAAAGCUUGAAUUAUACAAAAUAUAACUUUGUGGAUUUUAUUUGAUUGGAGUUGAUAUGUUGUUAGUAUCCACUGGAGCCAUGUGCUGGUUCUGGAGUUCUGGCCAACCCAAAAUUUCUAUCACCCAUAAAGGUUUCUUUAGGUUGGAGCAUUGUACUGAAAGCUUGAAUUGUACAAAAUUUCUAUUAGCCAACUGAACUACUUAUUGCAUGAAAUUUAGCAGAGAUGGAAGAGAGAUGAUGUGGCUUAAAAAGUAUCUCUAGUUAUUGGACAUGUGACUAAUGAUAAAUAGCAAGGGACUCAGACAUCAAAAUUAUUCAAUGAUUAUAAGAAAUAUCUGGAUUCAUGGUGAAAUUUGAGAGUUCAAUCUACUCUGUAAUUUAUUAUGUUUUUCUUGAUAAAAUAGGACAUUUUAAAUCGGCAUCAUGUGUGGCUUUUCCAUGUUCGAGGUUCUUCGGAACUAUCUUGUUGCUCACCGGUAUUGAAUUACAUCUUUUUCUUUUGCCAUGCAGUAGAAAUUUUUGGUGAAUAAUUAAUGCAACUCAUUAAACAUUUCCUUUAUGCAUCACUUUGGUGAAUAAUUAAUGCAACUCAUUAAACAAAUUCUGAAAGCAUAAGCAGGCAUAGAUUAAAACGAGUAUAUACUGUGACGGAAGAGGAUUAUGCUGCUGCCGAAAAACUGAAACCUGAAGUGCCAUUUGCUUACAUUUUGAAAUGUUAAAGCAUUCAGGGACUCCUUCUGGCAAUCAGCUCAUUUUAUCAGGAAGUACUUUGCUUCAUUCUUAUUUGUUUGUGUCUUGAGUUUUAGAACUUCAUCCACUUGGCUCUGAAUUGAAUCUCUUUCUUCAACUGUUGACUAUUUCCACUCUCACAAAAAACAUCCAUCUGACAAAUUGAAACAAACCUCUGGAGCAUUUACAGAAGGAUAUUUACAGCAUGUCAUUUUUCCAUGGCAACGGCUUGAAUAAUUUGUCAUUAAGUUUUCCUCCAUCUCCAGAUAUAUAUCCUCUUUGGCUAUUAAGAUGUUUCAUUCUUGUCUUUGUUGGUUGUGUAUUCUUUGAUGUCAACAGAUGGUGUUUGAGAAUGUCCAAGUAUCAUUACUUUGACCAACAAACUAAAGUCAAAUCCCAAGUUUUAGGUAUAUAUGUAUGUCACCUGAGUUCCAAAAUGUGAAAAAUAUCAACUAGUUGAUUAGUAAAUAAUACAGUGAAUGCAGAUCACUAAUCUGAGGUAUAAUACACUUCUGUCCUCCAUAUUAGGAUCCGAAUGCCUUUUAUCAAUCACUGUAUUUCCCAAAAGGUUCAUAUAUGUUCUGUUGACAGAUUAUGUUGUCUAUAAUCAAAGAAUUUAUGAUUAUUUG
Molecule: long non-coding RNA, 1577 nt
Filed under: Musa acuminata (dwarf banana)
Lineage: Eukaryota; Viridiplantae; Streptophyta; Magnoliopsida; Zingiberales; Musaceae
Description: long non-coding RNA (MACU_LNC004996)
Source: RNAcentral